GGACUUCCGGGGUGGCGCCAUCGGCAAUGGCGGACUCCCUCUGAACUGGAGGGACUAGCUCCACGCGAAACGGGUCUUCUCCGCUACGGCGAAGCGGGGACCCUUUUAAAAAUCACAGGCAGAUGAAGCCUGUGACCAUGGGACUCGGCGGGCACCUUUAGCGCCCCCCCAACCCGCAAAGGAACCCACUAACGGGCUCCGAAGUGAAGAGGGGGAAGUGGCGCGGUGCUGUGAGUCAACUGCUAUUUCCGUGGAGCGAAGCCGCAUAGCCGUUGCCGGAGAGCGCUGCCUUUUUUCCUGGGACAAUUUGGAUUCUAAAAUAAGCACCCGUGAGUACUUAAACUUUGAACAACUGGACUUUAAAUAAGGACUUGCGAGCAGAAAGGAAUUGGACUUAAAAAUUUAUUUCAAUUUGGUACUGAAACGGGAAGGUCUAAACAGGAAGUCAGCCUUCCGUUCUUUUGUAGACAGAAUAAAGCAAAGACAACGUAAACUAGAGCUCAGAAAAUUGCCUCUAAAGGAUUGGAUUUCAUCAUUUAAAAUAGUGGAACCCCCCUUCGACAGCAGGAGAAGAAGGGGGAUCUUUUUCGGACUGUUUAAACCUGCAGAAGUGAGUUUAAAGUAAAGUAACUUUCCACCGUCCUGAUUCUGGAGCGGGGUGUCAGGACUGACGUUUGAAGCUCAUUGACCAGAGACAAACGUUUUUGACAGAUAGCUAAAAGAAGAGAAACAUAGUGAUUCCACUGUUUCCUUUCGCAGUUUAAAGGAACAAAUAUUGAC
Non-coding RNA from Podarcis lilfordi (Lilford's wall lizard), 780 nucleotides. Lineage: Eukaryota; Metazoa; Chordata; Lepidosauria; Squamata; Lacertidae. The record is from the annotation of a GenBank genome assembly.